AUGAGAGCCAAGCAGCUGCAGAGAUGGAGACAUUAUGGAACCUACUAGAACCCAGCCCCCGGGGCUGGCGGACCCCCGUGUGCCGCUGCCAUGGCUUUCGGGCUCCUGGGCUGCAUGGUGCUGUGUCUCCUGGGAGCAGGCCCCUUGGAGGCCAGAGUGACCCAGACCCCAAGAUACCUCAUCACAAGGACGGGAAGACAGUUGACGCUGCAUUGUUCUCAGGAUCUGACCAUGACGCUAUGUACUGGUAUCGACAAGACCCAGGUCUGGGUCCAAAGCUGAUCUCCCUUUCAAGGAACGUUGAUUUAACUGAAGAUGGAGAUGUCCCUGAAGGGUACACUGUCUCACGGAAAGAGAAGAAGAAAUUCCCCCUGACCGUGAAGUCGGCAGGCACCAACCAGACCUCUCUGUACCUCUGUGCCAGCAGUGUAUCCACAGCGCGGCUCAGCCAGCUGCUCUCUGCACAAAAAGGGUACCACAAGAGUGAGAAGUCUCCUUCCUGGGGGGCCCCACCCCAAGCAGGAGGAAAACUCCCUCCACCAUCAGUGCCCCUAGAAGCCCUUCCCUGACUUCCCAGC
Ailuropoda melanoleuca (giant panda) is the source of this 578-nucleotide non-coding RNA. NCBI's taxonomy places the organism in Eukaryota, Metazoa, Chordata, Mammalia, Carnivora, Ursidae. The record is from the annotation of a RefSeq genome assembly.